RNAcentral lists this ribosomal RNA (506 nucleotides) under uncultured bacterium. Its description in RNAcentral is "partial 16S ribosomal RNA". It matches the Rfam family "Bacterial small subunit ribosomal RNA", at positions 29 to 523 of the family's 1533-position model. The record is from RNAcentral.
AUUGAACGCUGGCGGCAGGCUUAACACAUGCAAGUCGAACGGCAGCACAGAAGAGCUUGCUCUUUGGGUGGCGAGUGGCGGACGGGUGAGUAAUGUCUGGGAAACUGCCCGAUGGAGGGGGAUAACUACUGGAAACGGUAGCUAAUACCGCAUAACGUCGCAAGACCAAAGUGGGGGACCUUCGGGCCUCACACCAUCGGAUGUGCCCAGAUGGGAUUAGCUAGUAGGUGGGGUAAUGGCUCACCUAGGCGACGAUCACUAGCUGGUCUGAGGGGAUGACCAGCCACACUGGAACUGAGACACGGUCCAGACUCCUACGGGAGGCAGCAGUGGGGAAUAUUGCACAAUGGGCGCAAGCCUGAUGCAGCCAUGCCGCGUGUAUGAAGAAGGCCUUCGGGUUGUAAAGUACUUUCAGCGGGGAGGAAGGCGGUGAGGUUAAUAACCGCGCCGAUUGACGUUACCCGCAGAAGAAGCACCGGCUAACUCCGUGCCAGCCGCCGCAGUAA